Molecule: long non-coding RNA, 301 nt
Organism: Dryobates pubescens (Downy woodpecker)
Lineage: Eukaryota; Metazoa; Chordata; Aves; Piciformes; Picidae
Exons: 3
Source: RefSeq, a predicted model, not a curated record
UUUUUCCCCUCCUCCCCUCAAAAAUAGCUUUUUUCCGUGUUUUGCCUCGGGGAGGGGGGGGCUUUCGGAACCCCCUUCCCCACCCCCCCUCUCUUUGGACUAUUUGGGAGCAUAUUUGUGGCCAUUUAAGGGUGCUGUGAGGUGGCUAAGAUGCAUCACCAGCAGCGAAUGGCUGCCUUGGGGACGGACAAAGAGCUGAGUGACUUGCUGGAUUUCAGCGCGAUGUUUUCGCCUCCUGUGAGCAGCGGGAAGAACGGACCAACUUCCUUGGCCAGCGGACACUUCACUGGCUCCAGUAUGU